RNAcentral lists this ribosomal RNA (437 nucleotides) under uncultured Clostridium sp. RNAcentral describes it as "partial 16S ribosomal RNA". It matches the Rfam family "Bacterial small subunit ribosomal RNA", at positions 341 to 792 of the family's 1533-position model. The record is from RNAcentral. Lineage: Bacteria; Bacillati; Bacillota; Clostridia; Eubacteriales; Clostridiaceae.
ACGGGAGGCAGCAGUGGGGGAUAUUGCACAAUGGGGGAAACCCUGAUGCAGCAAUGCCGCGUGAGGGAAGACGGUCUUCGGAUUGUAAACCUAAGUAGUCAGGGAAGAAGUCAGUGACGUUACCUGAAGAGUAAGCUCCGGCUAACUACGUGCCAGCAGCCGCGGUAAUACGUAGGGAGCGAGCGUUGUCCGGAUUUACUGGGUGUAAAGGGUGCGUAGGCGGGUCUACAAGUCAGAUGUGAAAUGCCGAGGCUUAACCUCGGAGCUGCAUUUGAAACUGUAGAUCUUGAGUGAAGUAGAGGCAAGCGGAAUUCCUAGUGUAGCGGUGAAAUGCGUAGAUAUUAGGAGGAACACCAGUGGCGAAGGCGGCUUGCUGGGCCUUAACUGACGCUGAGGCACGAAAGUAUGGGGAGCAAACAGGAUUAGAUACCCUGGUA